This 2384-nucleotide non-coding RNA is filed under the name Pongo abelii (Sumatran orangutan). Lineage: Eukaryota; Metazoa; Chordata; Mammalia; Primates; Hominidae. The record is from RNAcentral.
CCUUGCCAUCAUUCAGGGCAAAAACAGCAGCUGCCUGAUGGAAGACUGUUUCAAGAUGUUAUGGAAUGCAUGUUUGUGUGUCUGCAAAAUGCAGAUGUUGGAGCCGUGGAGGUGGGGGGCUUUGGGAGAUAAAUCCUUCGGAGGCUGCUCAUGGCCUUUCAAAUUCAUGCAUUACACAUGCAGAUUUCAGGGCACCAUCCCAGACCUCAGGAGUCGGCAUCAGGCACAUGGAAGUUUGAGGAGUGCUGAGGUUGAGGGAUGAAGUCACACAAGGAAGUUCCCGCAUUGAACACAAGACAGGUGCUACAGCAACGCGAUUCCCACCCUGCUGGUGUUGGGGGCACCUUGGAGGAAGCUGGCUGCACACUGGGAUCUACCACAUGGAGCUACCUGGUGAGCUUUGAAAAAUCCCACACCAAUACAAUCCGAUGGUGGAGGGGGUCCCAGCACCAAGGGCUCAGUGUUUAUAAAGCUCUCCAAGUGGUUGCAAUGGGCAUUCAGAACCGAGGGCCUCUGACUUAACCUGAACCUCCUCCCAGGGCCCUAUACAGAAUGCAAAGAGCUCUCUUUUCUUCCUGUUAAGGAGUAGUAGUGUCUCUGCACACACAAAUAUGUAUAAUUAAGCAAGAACAACAGCCAGGCACAGCCCUGACUGCAGUUUAUAGCCAGAUGACAGGUGUGCUUAAAGGUAAGGGAGCGAAGGCUUUCAGUCAAAAUUCUUUUUAGAGGCCAGGCGUGGUGGCUCAAGCCUGUAAUCCCAGCACACUGGGAGGCUGAGGCAGGCCGAUCACGAGGUGAGGAGUUCGAGACCAGCCUGGCCAACAUAGUGAAACCUUGUCUCUAUUAAAAAUACAAAAAUUAGCCAGGCAUGGUGGCGUGCGCCUGUAAUCCCAGCCACUCGGGAGGCUGAGGCAGGAAAAUCGCUUGAACCCGGGAGGUGGAGGUUGUGGUGAGCUGAGAUUGUGCCACUGCACUCCAGCCUGGGCAACAGAACAAGACUCCAUCUAAAAAAAAAAAAAAAUCACUUACGAAAGCAAUCUGGUAAGUAGUUGUACCCAGAAACUGAGUCCACACAAAUGUGGUGGAUGAAGGGAAAAGCCAACAUUCCCAAUGCAGAACAAAGCCACAGAGCCGAACGCUAAAUGCAGAGCAAAGUCAUGCCAAUCCCCUGCAAAAGCAUGCAACGGAUCCACUGGGAGCGGGACACAGACUGAAAAAGGGCAGCAUCUGAAUGAAGUCAGAUAUGACCAUGUGCCCUCUGGCAAACCGACAGGCGACUCAAAGUGGAGCUGGUGACGAUGAGACCAACAUUACAAUCACUAGGUUGCACCAUACAAAACUGCUUAUAUUCAACUGUUUUGACCUCAAAGCAUCCAUUUCAUAAGGCUCCAUUUUAUAACAUACUAAAUAGCAACAUUUCUAAAUUUGAAUGUUUAUAAUGCAUAACUUUAAAUAUGAAUGUAGAACUACAUCAAUAAGUUACUUAAUGGCAGGCAUGUGAUGAGUCCACUUACAUCACUAGAGACUUUUAUAUCUAAAUGUGUUAUAUGAUUCAAAAGAAACCCUGCUUCCUGGGAAAACGGGAUUACCAUAUAAUCAGGGUUAAUUUCUGUGACUAUUUGGCACGCAUGAGGCCCACUUAAGAACAGAGGGCUGGGUGCGGUGGCUGAAACCUGUAAUCCCAGCAUUUUGGGAGGCUGCGGUGGGCAGAUCACCUGAGGCCAGGAGUUUGAGAUCAGCCUGGCCCACAUGGCAAAACCCUGCCUCUACUAAAAAUAUAAAAAUUAGCUGGGCAUGGUGGUGAGCACCUGUAAUCCCAGCUACUUGGGAGGCUGAGACAAGAGAAUCACUUCAACCCAGGAGGCAGAGGUUGCAGUUAGCUGAGAUUGCACCACUGCACUCCAGCUUGGCUGAUAGAGCAAGACUCCGUUUCAAAAAAAUAAAAAAUAAAAACAGAGAUACACCUGCUGACUGCUGACCGGCAGGCAACACCAACAUCCCUUUUCUCUUCAGAUCUUUUCUUGGGCCACUGGCCACAGUGCCGCCUCUACUGCAAAACAUGUACCCAGGAGGGAAAGCCAGCCAGCUUCCUAUUCCUUCCUGGAGGGAGGAGCGUGGGGCCGGGGCUGUUGGAUUUCUGGGGAGGAAACUGCACAGAUGGAUGGAGGAACCCGCCCCACUCCCCUGCAUCUCUUGAAGAGGUGCCCGUGCCCUGCCAACUGGGGAGUCAGUCCCACUGAAUCACUGCUGUUAAGGGGCUCAGCCCUGCAGGAGUGCCAGGAAGGGCUUCUGUUUCUUCUGUGAGUGUUGCUAAUAUGUAUGUGAAAAUCACACAAGGGCAAGGGCUUCACCCUGUGGGUCUAUUAAAACCAAGUGCAGCAUUG